AUUGAACGCUGGCGGCAGGCCUAACACAUGCAAGUCGAGCGGAUGAGUGGAGCUUGCUCCAUGAUUCAGCGGCGGACGGGUGAGUAAUGCCUAGGAAUCUGCCUGGUAGUGGGGGACAACGUUUCGAAAGGAACGCUAAUACCGCAUACGUCCUACGGGAGAAAGUGGGGGAUCUUCGGACCUCACGCUAUCAGAUGAGCCUAGGUCGGAUUAGCUAGUUGGUGAGGUAAAGGCUCACCAAGGCGACGAUCCGUAACUGGUCUGAGAGGAUGAUCAGUCACACUGGAACUGAGACACGGUCCAGACUCCUACGGGAGGCAGCAGUGGGGAAUAUUGGACAAUGGGCGAAAGCCUGAUCCAGCCAUGCCGCGUGUGUGAAGAAGGUCUUCGGAUUGUAAAGCACUUUAAGUUGGGAGGAGGGCAGUAAGUUAAUACCUUGCUGUUUUGACGUUACCAACAGAAUAAGCACCGGCUAACUUCGUGCC
Molecule: ribosomal RNA, 485 nt
Filed under: uncultured bacterium
Lineage: Bacteria
Description: bacterial SSU rRNA
Rfam family: Bacterial small subunit ribosomal RNA
Source: RNAcentral